GUGCUCAUUUUGACAACAUAUAUACUAAAAUUGGAAUGAUACAAAGACUCGCAUGUCCCCUAUGCAAGGUUGAUAUACAAAUUUGUGAAACGUUCCAUAUAUUU
Molecule: small nuclear RNA, 104 nt
Organism: Nomascus leucogenys (northern white-cheeked gibbon)
Lineage: Eukaryota; Metazoa; Chordata; Mammalia; Primates; Hylobatidae
Source: Ensembl